GUUUUCAAUUGUUUAUUAUCCAUGAAAACUCCUCGACGGCUGCAACUGUUGUUUGCCUAGAUGAAUGAUAUCGUCAAAAAUCGGACCGGCUAUAGCCAGUCAUUUGCAGCAACAAGUUAAAAUGAUAAAACAAGUCUGGUGUGUGUGUAUUUAUGCACGGACGUAAGAAGUUAUAUUUCUUUUGCGAAACACAAAACAUUCUUUUUCGCAGCUUAUAUACAACACCUUAUUCUUUUUAUCUGGGCUGGGAUUAGUUCUAAAUGUUAACUAAGCUAAGUCUUGAUGUCAAUGGCACACGGUACUCCUAAAAAAUUCGGUUCACCCAUCCAAGUACUAACCGUGUCCAGAGUUGCUUGACUUACAAUUAGUGAUCGCGAGGAAACUAAUGCUGUCAAAGCUGCACGGCCGUUGAUUAGAAUCGAACGUGAAUAAUCGGCGCGAGAAGCACAGACGACUAUACUACUUACGUUAUAGCGUACCACGUGAUGAAUAUUCAUUUUUUUUUCUCACAAUUUUUAUGACUUUUUGAAGCUGAAUAAAAAUAAUGCAUUACUGUUUUCUUAUAUAACACAAUAAAAAUGAAUUAAAAUUAUGUCUA
Molecule: long non-coding RNA, 598 nt
Organism: Polistes canadensis
Lineage: Eukaryota; Metazoa; Arthropoda; Insecta; Hymenoptera; Vespidae
Exons: 2
Source: RefSeq, a predicted model, not a curated record